RNAcentral lists this transfer RNA (73 nucleotides) under Camelus bactrianus (Bactrian camel). It matches the Rfam family "tRNA". From Rfam's summary of the family: Transfer RNA (tRNA) molecules are approximately 80 nucleotides in length. Their secondary structure includes four short double-helical elements and three loops (D, anti-codon, and T loops). Further hydrogen bonds mediate the characteristic L-shaped molecular structure. tRNAs have two regions of fundamental functional importance: the anti-codon, which is responsible for specific mRNA codon recognition, and the 3' end, to which the tRNAs corresponding amino acid is attached (by aminoacyl-tRNA synthetases). tRNAs cope with the degeneracy of the genetic code in two manners: having more than one tRNA (with a specific anti-codon) for a particular amino acid; and 'wobble' base-pairing, i.e. permitting non-standard base-pairing at the 3rd anti-codon position. The record is from Rfam by way of RNAcentral. RNAcentral also lists the same sequence under 1 other name. Lineage: Eukaryota; Metazoa; Chordata; Mammalia; Artiodactyla; Camelidae.
GAGGGUAUAGCUCAAAUGGUAGAGCGCUUGCUUAGCCUGCAUGAAGUCCUGGGUUCAAUCCGCAGUACCUCCU